GACGAACGCUGGCGGCGUGCUUAACACAUGCAAGUCGAACGCGCCUGUCCUCUGGGUUUCUGGGGGGUGGGUGAGUGGCGAACGGGUGAGUAACACGUGAGUAACCUGCCCCCUUCUUCGGGAUAACGGUCUGAAAGGGCUGCUAAUACCGGAUAUUCACUGGUCUCCGCAUGGGGUCUGGUGGAAAGGUUUUUUUCUGGUGGGGGAUGGGCUCGCGGCCUAUCAGCUUGUUGGUGGGGUGAUGGCCCACCAAGGCUUUGACGGGUAGCCGGCCUGAGAGGGUGACCGGUCACAUUGGGACUGAGAUACGGCCCAGACUCCUACGGGAGGCAGCAGUGGGGAAUAUUGCACAAUGGGCGCAAGCCUGAUGCAGCGACGCCGCGUGAGGGAUGGAGGCCUUCGGGUUGUGAACCUCUUUCGCCCGUGGUCAAGCCGCGACGUGGGUCGUGGUGAGGGUAGUGGGUAAAGAAGCGCCGGCUAACUACGUG
Molecule: ribosomal RNA, 488 nt
Filed under: uncultured bacterium
Lineage: Bacteria
Description: partial 16S ribosomal RNA
Rfam family: Bacterial small subunit ribosomal RNA
Source: RNAcentral